This 375-nucleotide ribosomal RNA is filed under the name uncultured Helicobacter sp. Its description in RNAcentral is "bacterial SSU rRNA". It matches the Rfam family "Bacterial small subunit ribosomal RNA", at positions 275 to 667 of the family's 1533-position model. Lineage: Bacteria; Pseudomonadati; Campylobacterota; Epsilonproteobacteria; Campylobacterales; Helicobacteraceae. The record is from RNAcentral.
UAUGACGGGUAUCCGGCCUGAGAGGGUGAACGGACACACCGGAACUGAGACACGGUCCAGACUCCUACGGGAGGCAGCAGUAGGGAAUAUUGCUCAAUGGGCGCAAGCCUGAAGCAGCAACGCCGCGUGGAGGAUGAAGGUUUUAGGAUCGUAAACUCCUUUUGUUAGAGAAGAUAAUGACGGUAUCUAACGAAUAAGCACCGGCUAACUCCGUGCCAGCAGCCGCGGUAGUACGGAGGGUGCAAGCGUUACUCGGAAUCACUGGCCGUAAAGAGCGCGUAGGCGGGAUAGUAAGUCAGGUGUGAAAUCCUAUGGCUUAACCAUAGAACUGCAUUUGAAACUACUAUUCUAGAGUGUGGGAGAGGUAGGUGGAAU